CGGUUGAUCCUGCCGGAGGCCACUGCUAUCGGGCUCCGACUAAGCCAUGCGAGUUUAGGGGCUCCUUCGGGAGCACCGGCGGACUGCUCAGUAACACGUGGACAACCUACCCUCGGGUGGGGGAUAACCUCGGGAAACUGAGGCUAAUACCCCAUAGGCCUCGGAUACUGGAAGGUUCCGAGACCGAAAGCUCCGGCGCCCGAGGAUGGGUCUGCGGCCUAUCAGGUAGUUGGUGGUGUAAAGGACCACCAAGCCUACGACGGGUACGGGCCCUGAGAGGGGAAGCCCGGAGAUGGACUCUGAGACACGAGUCCAGGCCCUACGGGGCGCAGCAGGCGCGAAACCUUCGCAAUGCGCGAAAGCGCGACGAGGGGAGCCCGAGUGCCCUUCCUUUCGGGAGGGCUUUUCUGGAGCCUAAAAAGCUCCAGGAAUAAGGGCUGGGCAAGACGGGUGCCAGCCGCCGCGGUAAUACCCGCAGCUCGAGUGGUGGCCACUAUUAUUGAGCCUAAAGCGUCCGUAGCCGGACCCGUAAAUCCCUGGGUAAAUCCUGGCGCUCAACGUCAGGAAUUCCGGGGAGACUGCGGGUCUUGGGACCGGGAGAGGCCGGAGGUACUCCCGGGGUAGGGGUAAAAUCCUGUAAUCCCGGGGGGACCACCUGUGGCGAAAGCGUCCGGCUUGAACGGCUCCGACGGUGAGGGACGAAGGCCAGGGGAGCAAACCGGAUUAGAUACCCGGGUAGUCCUGGCUGUAAACGCUGCCCGCUUGGUGUUGUCGGUCUUUCGGGGGCCGGCAGUGCCGGAGCGAAGGUGUUAAGCGGGCCGCUUGGGGAGUACGGCCGCAAGGCUGAAACUUAAAGGAAUUGGCGGGGGAGCAC
RNAcentral lists this ribosomal RNA (874 nucleotides) under uncultured euryarchaeote. RNAcentral describes it as "bacterial SSU rRNA". It matches the Rfam family "Archaeal small subunit ribosomal RNA", at positions 5 to 879 of the family's 1478-position model. Lineage: Archaea; Methanobacteriati; Methanobacteriota. The record is from RNAcentral.